CAGCAGCCACGGUAAUACGAAGGGGGCUAGCGUUGCUCGGAAUGACUGGGCGUAAAGGGCGCGUAGGCGGCGAUCAAAGUCAGGCGUGAAAUUCCUGGGCUCAACCUGGGGGCUGCGCUUGAUACUUGGUUGCUUGAGUGGGGAAGAGGGUCGUGGAAUUCCCAGUGUAGAGGUGAAAUUCGUAGAUAUUGGGAAGAACACCGGUGGCGAAGGCGGCGACCUGGUCCUUGACUGACGCUGAGGCGCGAAAGCGCGGGGAGCAAACAGGAUUAGAUACCCCUGUAGUCCCUGUCUCUUAUAC
This 301-nucleotide ribosomal RNA is filed under the name uncultured bacterium. RNAcentral describes it as "partial 16S ribosomal RNA". It matches the Rfam family "Bacterial small subunit ribosomal RNA", at positions 509 to 807 of the family's 1533-position model. The record is from RNAcentral.